UACGAAGGGAGCUAGCGUUGUUCGGAAUCUCUGGGCGUAAAGCGCCCGUAGGCGGAUGUGUCAGUCAGGGGUGAAAUCCCGGAGCUCAACUUCGGAACUGCCUUUGAUACAGCACGUCUUGAGUCCGGAAGAGGUGGGUGGAAUUCCUAGUGUAGAGGUGAAACUCGUAGAUAUUAGGAAGAACACCGGUGGCGAAGGCGGCCCACUGGUCCGGUACUGACGCUGAGGUGCGAAAGCGUGGGGAGCAAACGGG
RNAcentral lists this ribosomal RNA (253 nucleotides) under uncultured bacterium. Its description in RNAcentral is "partial 16S ribosomal RNA". It matches the Rfam family "Bacterial small subunit ribosomal RNA", at positions 524 to 776 of the family's 1533-position model. The record is from RNAcentral.